GGGUCGAUGCCCGAGCGGUUAAUGGGGACGGACUGUAAAUUCGUAGACAUAUUGCCAACGAAUUUACAGUCCGUCCCCAUUAACCGCUCGGGCAUCGACCCA
This is a non-coding RNA of Gossypium arboreum, 102 nucleotides long. The record is from Rfam. NCBI's taxonomy places the organism in Eukaryota, Viridiplantae, Streptophyta, Magnoliopsida, Malvales, Malvaceae.